Molecule: long non-coding RNA, 420 nt
Filed under: Parus major (Great Tit)
Lineage: Eukaryota; Metazoa; Chordata; Aves; Passeriformes; Paridae
Description: lncRNA (ENSPMJG00000002097.1)
Source: RNAcentral
UGGCUAUGUUAAUUCCCCUUGGCGGCCAUCUUGGUGGGCGUGGCCACACCCUUACCUACUGUCGGCCAUCUUGGUGGGCGUGGCCACACCCUCACCUGCCGUCGGCCAUCUUGGUGGGCGUGGCUAUGUCUUUACCCCCCGUCGGCCAUCUUGGUGGGCGUGUCCCCUCUGACCCCGCCCCUUUCCCCUCCCCCCACAGCAGCCGCUGCCGGUGCGGGCGGGGCAGGAGGUGUCGGUGGCGUUCUGGCGCGUGGCCACGCCCAGCAAGGUGUGGUACGAGUGGGCGGUGACGUCACCGGCCUGCUCCGCCCUCCACAACCCCAGCGGCCGCUCCUACACCAUCGGGCUGUGAGCGGCGGUCACGUGACCCGUGACGUCACCAGGAAUAAACAACGGCCACGCCCCCCCCUGCGGAGAGUC